GUUAGUAACUUGUACAGGUUUUAAGAGAAAAGCCAACAGGAUUUAGUGGAAGAGAAGAAACUGUGAAAAUUAACAAGCAGGUCGUCGACGUUGGCAAGCUUGAAGAAUGUGCCAUGAAUAAAAAAAAUGCCAUGAAUAAAUGAAUUUGUCACUAAUGAAUUUGUCAUGAAUAAAUGAAUGAGUAGCCAAUCCAAACCGAACUACAUAUAGACAAUAAUGAAA
This 222-nucleotide long non-coding RNA is filed under the name Rattus norvegicus (Norway rat). RNAcentral's name for it is "long non-coding RNA NONRATT032026". The record is from RNAcentral. Lineage: Eukaryota; Metazoa; Chordata; Mammalia; Rodentia; Muridae.